GGUGCUAUAGUGUAGUGGUUAUCACUCGGGAUUUUGAUGUACCCAGUGUUUCCAUCGACUUUCCCGAAACCCAGGUUCGAACCCUGGUAGCACCU
Molecule: transfer RNA, 95 nt
Organism: Trametes versicolor FP-101664 SS1
Lineage: Eukaryota; Fungi; Basidiomycota; Agaricomycetes; Polyporales; Polyporaceae
Rfam family: tRNA
About the family: Transfer RNA (tRNA) molecules are approximately 80 nucleotides in length. Their secondary structure includes four short double-helical elements and three loops (D, anti-codon, and T loops).
Source: Rfam